RNAcentral lists this unclassified non-coding RNA (303 nucleotides) under plant metagenome. RNAcentral describes it as "partial contains 5.8S ribosomal RNA, internal transcribed spacer 2, and large subunit ribosomal RNA". The stretch from base 1 to 105 matches the Rfam family "5.8S ribosomal RNA", at positions 50 to 154 of the family's 154-position model. The record is from RNAcentral.
GAAAUGCGAUAAGUAGUGUGAAUUGCAGAAUUCAGUGAAUCAUCGAAUCUUUGAACGCACAUUGCGCCCCUUGGUAUUCCAUGGGGCAUGCCUGUUCGAGCGUCAUUUGAACCCUCAAGCUUUGCUUGGUGUUGGGUGUUUGUCCCGCCUUUGCGUGUGGACUCGCCUUAAAGUCAUUGGCAGCCAUGUAAUUCGGCUUUGAGCGCAGCACAUUGCGAUCUCUCUGCUGGUACAUUGGCAUCCAGAAGCCUUUUUUUUUACGCUUGACCUCGGAUCAGGUAGGGAUACCCGCUGAACUUAAGC